Molecule: ribosomal RNA, 487 nt
Filed under: uncultured bacterium
Lineage: Bacteria
Description: bacterial SSU rRNA
Rfam family: Bacterial small subunit ribosomal RNA
Source: RNAcentral
UGAACGCUGGCGGCAUGCCUUACACAUGCAAGUCGAACGGCAGCACGGGGCAACCUGGUGGCGAGUGGCGAACGGGUGAGUAAUAUAUCGGAACGUGCCCUGGAGUGGGGGAUAACGUAGCGAAAGUUACGCUAAUACCGCAUACGAUCUCAGGAUGAAAGCAGGGGACCGCAAGGCCUUGUGCUCCUGGAGCGGCCGAUAUCUGAUUAGCUAGUUGGUGGGGUAAAAGCCUACCAAGGCGACGAUCAGUAGCUGGUCUGAGAGGACGACCAGCCACACUGGAACUGAGACACGGUCCAGACUCCUACGGGAGGCAGCAGUGGGGAAUUUUGGACAAUGGGGGCAACCCUGAUCCAGCAAUGCCGCGUGUGUGAAGAAGGCCUCGGUUGUAAGCACUUUGUCAGGACGAACGGUUAGGGCGUAAUAUCCUCGGCGUAAUGACGGUACCGUCGAAGAAUAAGCACCGGCGUAACUACGUGCCAGCAGC